UGCGAUUACAGCUGUAAGUCGCUUGGGGUAUGUCUCUAUCAGUUUUGCACAUCGAGAGACUGACAUUUUUUCCCAUUCCUCCUUGCAAAACAGCUCGAGCUCAGUGAGGUUGGAUGGAGAGCAUUUGUGAACAGCAGUUUUCAGUUCUUUCCAUAGAUUCUCGAUUGGAUUCAGGUCUAGCCAAUAGCUAGUCUGAGAUAUGGCUUUUUCUUUGCAACUCUGCCUAGAAGGCCAGCAUCCCGGAGUCACCUCUUCACUGUUAACGUUGAGACUGGUGUUUUGCGGGUACUAUUUAAUGAAGCUGCCAGUUGAGGACUUAUGAGGCAUUUGUUUACUAAACUAUUGCUUAUUUAAUCAGAGCAACAGUUUCCAGCUGUGCGAACAUAAUUACAAAAGGGUUUUCUAAUGAUCAAUUAGCCUUUUAAAAUGAUAAACUUGGAUUAGCAAACUCAACCUGCCAUUGGAACACAGGAGUGAUGGUUGCUGAUAAUGGGCCUAUGUAGAUAUUCAAUUUAAAAAUCUGCCGUUUCCAGCUACAAUAGUAAUUUACACCAUUAACAAUGUCUACACUGUAUUUAUGAUCAAUUUGAUAUUAUUUUAAUGGACACAAAAAAAUGUGCUUUUCUUUAAAAAACAAAGACUUUUCUAAGUGACCCCAAACUUUUGAACAGAAGAGUAUAUUGGAGGCAGGCAAAUACCUUUCACUGAGCUGUUUAAAGACAGACUGACAGGGAUUAGAAUUAAUUGUAAUUUAUCUUUCUGUUCUUUUGUUGUUUGGUGCACUAUCCUUCUGACCCUAUGCAGCCAAGUCCCAUUUACUUUUUAAACCCUCGCAGGAAUGGCUUGUUUGGUGUCUGCUGUGAAGGAAUACUACAACAAGUAAACUACUUGAUUGAUGAAGGCAUGUCAUCGACUACAUGCACCAUUUCUUCACUAACUACUGAUUUGGGGAAACACGUGUGGACCUGAAUUGUGAUAAUUGCAGUGGCCAAAACAAGAACAAGUUUGUGCUCUAGUAUAGUGCCUGGCGUACCAUGCACAAGCUCCACCACAGUCUGGACCUUCACUUCCUGAUCAUAGGCAACACCAAGUUUGCCCCCGACUUGCUUCGGCCUCAUCAAGCAACGCUUUCGAAAGACCAGAGUGAACACUUUGUCUGAGAUUGCUGGUGUUGUGAAGGACAGCACUGUGAUGGGUCAACAUCCCAUAGCUGGUUGGACUGGAGGAUGAUACGGUGCUGGUGGAAAGCUAUGGCUGGCAACAACACCUGACUCCGUACUUCAGGCCUCUUUCACAGAUCAAGCAGUGCCAGCACUUCAGCUUCUAUGUUCUGGAGCCUGGUGUUGAUGUUGCCAAGGAGCGUUCGGACUCAGUUGGGACCAGGUUGCAGCUGGAGGGGUGGAUUGUGGAUUUUGCUCAAUGGGAAAGUUUAUUAAAUAAACUACACUUUCCGAUUGAGCAAAAUCCACCGUCCACGCCUCUAAAGAUAACCUGGCUCUUUUCUACAAAAUUCGACCAGGUCCACGUUUGAAUACAUGGCUGAAGAGAUGCAUUUUGGUUUAGCCAGCCAUCUACACACACAGACAAACAUACAGUUUCAACCCCAGCCACAGGGCUGUAUACAGAAACAUUGACCUCCAUCGUGACCAAAACUAUUAUUUUCCCAUAAGCUUGUUCUAUCUACAGUAUGACAGCACCAGCAGUUAGCUACCAACAGUUGAUAGACAUGUUAAAUUGGCUACUUUCGCAUUAAUCAGUGAUAUUUAGAUGGAAGAUGUUAGCUAAAUGCGGUAGCUCCAUAGCUAGCUAACAUUAACAUAGAGGUAUUAAGCUGGCCCUUUCACUUCCCGAUGAAGCCCUGAUCAUGCUCUGUUUCAGCUGCUGGCUGUUUGUGAUACUUUAUAAGCCAAAUUGUUGGUAGGGACAGCAUCCAUUUUGAAAAGCAAGAUUUUUCUAAAGCCCUUCCAUUGUUGAUAACCAUUGAAGUUCUCAAGGAUGAAAUGUGCCCCACAGAUUGACGGGUAGUUGCCCAAUUCGCCCGCCUCAUUCUCACAAAUGCGUCCACUUUUAUGAAGUGUUUCAUUUGCAUGGCCAUAGAGGCAUACUGAUCACGCUCUCUGCAGCCGAUGGGUGUAAGACCUUUAAACAGGUCAACAUUCACAAGGUCGCAGGGCCAGAGGGAUUACCAGGACGUGUGCUGCGAGCAUGCGCUGACCAACUGACAAGUGUUUUCACUGACAUUUUCAACCUCUCCAUGUCUGAGUCUGUAAUGCCAACAUGUUUUAAGAAGACCACUGUCAUAACUCUCCUGUGAUGAUCUGAAGGAUCAGGUUACAGUGGGUUCACUCUACAGCGUGCUCUCUCUUGUAGAGAGGGAGAGCGGGAAGUCAGCUGUUUUAUGGCGGUCAUAAAAUACGCUGCUUCUAUGCUCUGUAAUGUUCAAGAUUGGAAUGUAAACUGUGGAACACAGAGAGACCCUUGGACAUCAAAAGUUUGAAUAAUUAAACAAUAUUUCUAUUUUUGAGAAUGUGGGAGUGGUCCGUGGACACUUAUUAAGGGACAGUCAUGAUGAGUGUGUUUCAUGAGGAUGGUGAUCUCAUGAGGAAAAGAAACACUCAUUACUCUGUCUUUGGUUGUGUACACUUCUUAAUGAUGGGGUUUACAUCUAAAUAUUGUGGAACGUAUAUGAUUAAACAUGAAGCUAUUUGUGAAAACAUUUAAUGUGAUGUUAACCUUCUAAAUGAGCAAAUAUGGGUUAAAGUUAACCAAGUCAGUGGUCACGCCCAAGUGAGCAUAGACAUUAAGUCGGUGUCACGGACCGCCCUUUUCUCAGUGAAUAUAAAUCCCACUCCUGACGAAAUUUACAUUCGAAUAGAAACCAUGGAGCUGACGUUACAUGUUGAAAUGGUUAAGAACUACAACUCUAUAGGCCCAGGAGACCAUACAGCGUGUAGUGUUGGCUACAUGGCUGGAAAUGGUUCAACUCUGAGACUAUCGAUCACUGCAGAAUAAGAGCAAAUCCUAGAAGUAGAAUUACUGGUCUGCAGCUGGAAAUGACGUAAGUCUAGUAAGAGAAUACCGACAACCGCGGAAGCAUCUCUUCUAUGUAACAACCAUCUGACGUAUCCAUUACAACAGACACUAUCCAGAGCCGCUGAGAAAGCUACAAACACGUAAGACAUUGUGAUUUCUGGGGAAGUUAACCAGAGACUCUCUGAACUGACUCUCCAGCAGACGGACCGGCGGUUCCAACAGAGAGACAGCAACGACAUAUGGGCAUAAAUAUAUACAUUGCAAUUGUUUUUGAAUGAGUGGCCAUUCAUGUGUAAAGGAUUAGCAUUUCAAUGAAUAUAAUUAUCAACUGUGUGUAAUGAGUCCACUCCCGCUCUUUCUCUGUCCCCACCCCUUCCAUUGUCUACCAAGCCAUCAUACUGGUUUAGCCCACUAGGGACUUUUCAAUGCAUUGUGUUAGUAACCAAUAACUAUAUUGUUUGUUUCAUGUAUUUCUGUGACUUGAUUAGUUAGUUAGUAAAUAAAUAAUUAAA
Molecule: long non-coding RNA, 3545 nt
Organism: Oncorhynchus tshawytscha (Chinook salmon)
Lineage: Eukaryota; Metazoa; Chordata; Actinopteri; Salmoniformes; Salmonidae
Source: Ensembl